Molecule: long non-coding RNA, 270 nt
Filed under: Manacus vitellinus (golden-collared manakin)
Lineage: Eukaryota; Metazoa; Chordata; Aves; Passeriformes; Pipridae
Description: lncRNA (ENSMVIG00005011692.1)
Source: RNAcentral
CAUUGACUGUUAAGGAAUUGUAAUAAGGUACAAGGAGCCAAUUGAUUGCUCAAGUGUAAACACUGUGCUCCUCAUUUAAAGUCUAAUAAUUUCCCCAAUCAAAAAGCUCUCCUGUCUAUAAAUUAUCCCACCAUCUCUCACUGAAGAAAACAGAUCCUUUCAAAAGAACCAAAAAAACUUUGAAAGAGGCAGGGUAUGGUCACAGCAACAGUCUUCCACAUGUUCGUGGCCACUCCCAUGUCCCCCAAAUCCUCUUUCAUUGCUGCAACA